Molecule: ribosomal RNA, 465 nt
Filed under: uncultured bacterium
Lineage: Bacteria
Description: partial 16S ribosomal RNA
Rfam family: Bacterial small subunit ribosomal RNA
Source: RNAcentral
GACGAACGCUGGCGGCGUGCUUAACACAUGCAAGUCGAACGGAAAGGCCCCUUUGGGGGUACUCGAGUGGCGAACGGGGGAGUAACACGUGAGUAACCUGCCCUUGACUUCGGGAUAACUUCAGGAAACUGGGGCUAAUACCGGAUAGGAAUCCUUGCUGCAUGGUGGGGGUUGGAAAGCUUCGGCGGUUUUGGAUGGACUCGCGGCCUAUCAGCUUGUUGGUGGGGGAGUGGCUUACCAAGGCUUUGACGGGUAGCCGGCCUGAGAGGGCGACCGGCCACAUUGGGACUGAGGUACGGCCCAGACUCCUACGGGGGGCAGCAGUGGGGAAUAUUGCACAAUGGGCGGAAGCCUGAUGCAGCAACGCCGCGUGCGGGAUGACGGCCUUCGGGUUGUAAACCGCUUUCAGCAGGGGCGAAGCUUGUGGUGACGGUACCUGCAGAAGAAGCACCGGCUAACUACGUG